CCCUUAGAUGUCCGGGGCUGCACGCGCGCUACACUGAAGGAAUCAGCGUGCUAAAACCAUUGUCGAAAGGCAUUGGUAAACCCAUUAAAAUCCUACGUGAUUGGGAUCGGGAAUUGCAAUUAUUUCCCUUGAACGAGGAAUUCCCAGUAAGUGUGGGUCAUAAGCUCGCGUUGAUUACGUCCCUGCCCUUUGUACACACCGCCCGUCGCUGCCCGGGACUGAGCCGUUUCGAGAAAAGCGGGGACUGCUGCUGUCGGGGCGUUCGGGCCUUGGCUUCGGUGGAAACCGCUUUAAUCGCAGUGGCUUGAACCGGGCAAAANUCGUAACA
RNAcentral lists this ribosomal RNA (328 nucleotides) under uncultured eukaryote. Its description in RNAcentral is "partial 18S ribosomal RNA". It matches the Rfam family "Eukaryotic small subunit ribosomal RNA", at positions 1470 to 1796 of the family's 1831-position model. The record is from RNAcentral.